UAUCUCCAUCAAUUCCCAGGAGAAGGCAUUAGAGAGAGAGAGAGAGAGCUCCUUACAAAUGGAUGGGGUUCUUCUAACUCUUAGAAGUGGUUGUGAUCACUCCAUGGUACUCAGUACUACAUUCACGAGGAACAGACAGUGACAGUUGAAUAAGACUUCUAUUUUCCUCGUUUUAUUACACUUUGUUUACAUUUGUUUGUUUCAGAUAAUCCUGAAGAGUCUCAUGGAUGUCUCAGGAAGGCUUACUGCUUAUUUGGCUCAUUGCAAUAAAAAGGCCCAAGCUGACAACAGAAGGGGACGCCGGCCUGAGGUAGGAGCUGAAGAACAAUUCUGAGAAGCCCUCCUGGAGGACUGAAGGGGACAUCAGCUCCAUCCUCCCGGCUAUGAGGUCUUCAUCCUCCCGGCUAUGGGGUCUUCACCCAAGGCUAUUUUGCUGAACUCUUAACUGAGUCACGGAGAGUAUUUACUAAUCAAAAAAUAAUUUUAUUGUGUUUUACGUUUAUGGCUUUUUGUUGCUGUUGUUUCAAAAGUUGUUUGUUGAUGAUUUUAUCUAAUGGAUAACUAUAGACCAGAACUUUUCCUUUGUAUUAUUCCUUUUUGUCAAUAAAGAGGUAAUAUUUUAAAAUCCAGA
Galeopterus variegatus (Sunda flying lemur) is the source of this 631-nucleotide long non-coding RNA. RefSeq lists it as uncharacterized. Lineage: Eukaryota; Metazoa; Chordata; Mammalia; Dermoptera; Cynocephalidae. The record is from RefSeq and is a predicted model, not a curated record. The transcript is spliced from 2 exons.